This 253-nucleotide ribosomal RNA is filed under the name uncultured bacterium. RNAcentral's name for it is "partial 16S ribosomal RNA". It matches the Rfam family "Bacterial small subunit ribosomal RNA", at positions 524 to 776 of the family's 1533-position model. The record is from RNAcentral.
GACAGAGGGUGCAAACGUUGCUCGGAUUUACUGGGCGUAAAGCGCACGUAGGCGGUCUUGUAAGUCGGGUGUGAAAACCCAGGGCUCAACCCUGGCAGUGCACACGAUACUGCAUGACUGGGGUACUGAAGAGGAGAGCGGAAUUCUCGGUGUAGAGGUGAAAUUCGUAGAUAUCGGGAGGAACACCAGUGGCGAAGGCGGCGCUCUGGGCAGAUACCGACGCUGAGAUGCGAAAGCGUGGGAAGCAAACAGG